RNAcentral lists this ribosomal RNA (541 nucleotides) under Acinetobacter baumannii. Its description in RNAcentral is "bacterial SSU rRNA". It matches the Rfam family "Bacterial small subunit ribosomal RNA", at positions 115 to 651 of the family's 1533-position model. The record is from RNAcentral. Lineage: Bacteria; Pseudomonadati; Pseudomonadota; Gammaproteobacteria; Moraxellales; Moraxellaceae.
GCUUAGGAAUCUGCCUAUUAGUGGGGGACAACAUCUCGAAAGGGAUGCUAAUACCGCAUACGUCCUACGGGAGAAAGCAGGGGAUCUUCGGACCUUGCGCUAAUAGAUGAGCCUAAGUCGGAUUAGCUAGUUGGUGGGGUAAAGGCCUACCAAGGCGACGAUCUGUAGCGGGUCUGAGAGGAUGAUCCGCCACACUGGGACUGAGACACGGCCCAGACUCCUACGGGAGGCAGCAGUGGGGAAUAUUGGACAAUGGGGGGAACCCUGAUCCAGCCAUGCCGCGUGUGUGAAGAAGGCCUUAUGGUUGUAAAGCACUUUAAGCGAGGAGGAGGCUACUUUAGUUAAUACCUAGAGAUAGUGGACGUUACUCGCAGAAUAAGCACCGGCUAACUCUGUGCCAGCAGCCGCGGUAAUACAGAGGGUGCGAGCGUUAAUCGGAUUUACUGGGCGUAAAGCGUGCGUAGGCGGCUUAUUAAGUCGGAUGUGAAAUCCCCGAGCUUAACUUGGGAAUUGCAUUCGAUACUGGUGAGCUAGAGUAUGG